RNAcentral lists this ribosomal RNA (281 nucleotides) under uncultured Rhodoferax sp. Its description in RNAcentral is "partial 16S ribosomal RNA". It matches the Rfam family "Bacterial small subunit ribosomal RNA", at positions 1100 to 1382 of the family's 1533-position model. Lineage: Bacteria; Pseudomonadati; Pseudomonadota; Betaproteobacteria; Burkholderiales; Comamonadaceae. The record is from RNAcentral.
AACCCUUGUCAUUAGUUGCUACAUUCAGUUGGGCACUCUAAUGAGACUGCCGGUGACAAGCCGGAGGAAGUGGGGAUGACGUCAAGUCCUCAUGGCCCUUAUAGGUGGGGCUACACACGUCAUACAAUGGCUGGUACAAAGGGUUGCCAACCCGCGAGGGGGAAGCCAAUCCCAUAAAGCCAGUCGUAGUCCGGAUCGUAGUCUGCAACUCGACUACGUGAAGUCGGAAUCGCUAGUAAUCGUGGAUCAGAAUGUCACGGUGAAUACGUUCCCGGGUCCUU